Molecule: transfer RNA, 59 nt
Filed under: Rhodospirillaceae bacterium
Lineage: Bacteria; Pseudomonadati; Pseudomonadota; Alphaproteobacteria; Rhodospirillales; Rhodospirillaceae
Description: tRNA-Leu
Rfam family: tRNA
About the family: Transfer RNA (tRNA) molecules are approximately 80 nucleotides in length. Their secondary structure includes four short double-helical elements and three loops (D, anti-codon, and T loops).
Source: RNAcentral
GGUAGCUCGUCAGGCUCAUAACCUGAAGGUCGCAGGUUCAAAUCCUGCCCCCGCAACCA